Molecule: non-coding RNA, 99 nt
Organism: Podarcis lilfordi (Lilford's wall lizard)
Lineage: Eukaryota; Metazoa; Chordata; Lepidosauria; Squamata; Lacertidae
Source: the annotation of a GenBank genome assembly
CUUUCUCUUUCUCUUUCUCUUUCUCUCUCUCUCUCUCUCUGUGUGUGUGUGUGUGUGUGUGAGAGAGAGAGAGAGAGAGAGAGAGAGAGAGAGAGAAAU